RNAcentral lists this ribosomal RNA (403 nucleotides) under Verrucomicrobiota bacterium. Its description in RNAcentral is "Verrucomicrobia bacterium partial 16S ribosomal RNA". It matches the Rfam family "Bacterial small subunit ribosomal RNA", at positions 355 to 776 of the family's 1533-position model. The record is from RNAcentral. Lineage: Bacteria; Pseudomonadati; Verrucomicrobiota.
UGGGGAAUAUUGCACAAUGGGGGAAACCCUGAUGCAGCGACGCCGCGUGAGCGAAGAAGGCUUUCGAGUCGUAAAGCUCUGUCCUAUGAGAAGAUAAUGACGGUAUCAUAGGAGGAAGCCCUGGCUAAAUACGUGCCAGCAGCCGCGGUAAUACGUAUGGGGCGAGCGUUGUCCGGAAUUGUUGGGCGUAAAGGGUACGUAGGCGGUUUUUUAAGUCAGGUGUCGAAGCGUGGAGCUUAACUCCAUUAAGCACUUGAAACUGAAAGACUUGAGUGAAGGAGAGGAAAGUGGAAUUCCUAGUGUAGCGGUGAAAUGCGUAGAUAUUAGGAGGAAUACCGGUGGCGAAGGCGACUUUCUGGACUGCAACUGACACUGAGGCACGAAAGCGUGGGUAGCAAACAGG